CCUACGUGCGGCAGCAGUGGGGAAUAUUGGACAAUGGGGGGAACCCUGAUCCAGCCAUGCCGCGUGUGUGAAGAAGGCCCUCGGGUUGUAAAGCACUUUCAGUGAGGAAGAACGCCUGGUGGUUAAUACCCAUCAGGAAAGACAUCACUCACAGAAGAAGCACCGGCUAACUCCGUGCCAGCAGCCGCGGUAAUACGGAGGGUGCGAGCGUUAAUCGGAAUUACUGGGCGUAAAGCGCGCGUAGGUGGCUUGAUAAGCCGGUUGUGAAAGCCCCGGGCUCAACCUGGGAACGGCAUCCGGAACUGUCAAGCUAGAGUGCAGGAGAGGAAGGUAGAAUUCCCGGUGUAGCGGUGAAAUGCGUAGAGAUCGGGAGGAAUACCAGUGGCGAAGGCGGCCUUCUGGACUGACACUGACACUGAGGUGCGAAAGCGUGGGUAGCAAACAGGAUUAGAUACCCCGGUAGUC
This 465-nucleotide ribosomal RNA is filed under the name Vreelandella stevensii. RNAcentral describes it as "partial 16S ribosomal RNA". It matches the Rfam family "Bacterial small subunit ribosomal RNA", at positions 338 to 795 of the family's 1533-position model. Lineage: Bacteria; Pseudomonadati; Pseudomonadota; Gammaproteobacteria; Oceanospirillales; Halomonadaceae. The record is from RNAcentral.